RNA transcript from Daphnia magna, 1865 nucleotides. RefSeq lists it as uncharacterized. The transcript has 6 exons. NCBI's taxonomy places the organism in Eukaryota, Metazoa, Arthropoda, Branchiopoda, Diplostraca, Daphniidae. The record is from RefSeq and is a predicted model, not a curated record.
UCCGACACACUUAAAUGCAUGGGGGGAUCUUGCAGCACGAAAAUCUCUCUGUUAGAUAUUGUUGGAUGAGCAAAGGUGUUUUUAACGUCUUCCUCAUUUCCCUUUUGAAAAAUGCCAGCCCCAGCCAGCUUCCAAAAUUUCAUGUUCGUUGAGGCCCCAUCGCUGACAACCGCCAAAAUCCGUACACCACGAGCCUCUAAACGAAUGAUUGCCGCUAUGACCAAUCUAUACAGAUCUUUCCCAGACGCAGCGCCAGCUGAAGCAAACACUCCAAAAGGCUGGACCCAUUUGUCUAGCAAUGGCCUAAAGCCGCGUUCACACCAGAGGUUUUCGGCUAGCCGAAAGAUAAGAGAUGAAAAAAACGAGCUGAAAAACGAGCUGAAACGAAAAAAAAUUUCAUCUUUCCAAAGACGAAACUUUCUAAACUUUUCGGCACCGAAAAGUUUCAGCUAGCCGAAAAACGAAAGCUGAAAACUGAACAGCCAAUCACAGCUUUCCAUUUGAUGCGCAAUUAAUUUUUGAUAUUAGGUCAACAUCAUCAAUGCCAAAUCUGUCUGCUGUCAUUCUUUCAAGAAGUCGUGUGUUCCUCGUGAUUUGUUUCGUGUUGUUGUUCAUAGUUUCUGGAAAAAAAUGCCCAAGUUAGUCGCAACAACGAAGUCAUCGAGGAAAUCUCCUAAUUAGCUGGGAGUGAGCGAUACAAGCAAAAAAAUUACCAACGCGAAUCAAAAACGAGUUAUUAAAAUAUGGUCAAUUGCAACGACUGAGAGAUUCAUCCAGUCUGUUGAAAAGCAGCCGGUUCUGUAUGACGUGACGAUGUCUAAUUAUAAAAACAAUGUAUCCCAAGCUACAGCUAGAGCUGUCAUCGGAAGGGAAUUUUCCAUUAGUCCUGACGAAGUAAAAAAGAAAUGGAAGCAAUUGAAGGACACCUACAGGAUUGAAAAGAAGAGGCUGAGUGAAGAAGAUCCAAGUGGCAGUGGUUUGGAUGGAUCCAAACGUGCGAAGAAGCGUUGGACUUAUUUCGAAAAAAAUGGGAUUCCUUUCCAAAGUGUAAGAUGUUGCCGAGAGGGUCACAAAUGUGGACGAUGAGGAUGAGGAAGGAAAACGAAAUGAAUCUUUGGAUGAGGAACAAAGUAAUACACCUAUCAAAAAUUGGAGAAUGACAGAAAUUUUGGAAAGGGAGGACUUUUAUUAUUCUUCUGAUUCAGAUCAUCACGACGAAGAAAAUGCGAUGUCCUCGUUGAAUGAUUUAGAAAGUGCUUCUGAUUUUUCUGAUCAUUCGUUUAUUAAGGAAAUGGAUCUAAUCGCGAGUGGUAGUUGUAAUAAGGAGACCAUCGAGGGACUGAAGGAACCUGGUUUUAAGACUCCGAUUUCUUCUGCUCCAAGUCCAACUGCGCCUAGAAAGACUAAAGGCAAGAAGGCUAGUCUGGAAAGCGAGGCUGCCAAAGAAAUCGGACAGUUAAUGAAAACAAUCGGUCAAGUUUUAGAGAGCAAACCCGAAAUUAAGAAACCCAAUCCUCUCGAGCGAAUCCUCAACGACAUUGAAGAGGUCGUACGAGGUGAAGAGGCCCUACGAUCAGCUAUGGCAAAAACUUGGGAUUGCGUGUGGCUGCGAUUGAUGACGAAGAGACACGCGAUAACAUCCGCCAUGAAAUAGAGCAGGCAAUUUACCACAACAAGCAGGAACUCAAGAAGAAAAAAACGCUGUAGUGACUGGCGAAGGAAAUCACUCGCAACACAGAUAAAAAACGAUUAGAGUCAAUAAGAGAUUUGUCACUUCUAUGUAUUUUAAUGUGCAAUUUAAUGCUAGUGCAAUUUGUACAAACUGCAACACAGUAAUAAAACAGGGAAACGUUAAUAUCGCCAUU